GUGAGGAAUAUUGGACAAUGGGCGCAAGCCUGAUCCAGCCAUGCCGCGUGCAGGAAGACGCAUCUAUGGUGUGUAAACUGCUUUUGUACGGGAAGAAACACUCCCUCGUGAGGGAGCUUGACGGUACCGUAAGAAUAAGGAUCGGCUAACUCCGUGCCAGCAGCCGCGGUAAUACGGAGGAUCCAAGCGUUAUCCGGAAUCAUUGGGUUUAAAGGGUCCGUAGGCGGUUUAAUAAGUCAGUGGUGAAAGCCCAUCGCUCAACGAUGGAACGGCCAUUGAUACUGUUAGACUUGAAUUACAAGGAAGUAACUAGAAUAUGUAGUGUAGCGGUGAAAUGCUUAGAUAUUACAUGGAAUACCAAUUGCGAAGGCAGGUUACUACUUGUGGAUUGACGCUGAUGGACGAAAGCGUGGGGAGCGAACAGGAUUAGAUACCCUAGUAGCCC
Molecule: ribosomal RNA, 445 nt
Filed under: uncultured bacterium
Lineage: Bacteria
Description: partial 16S ribosomal RNA
Rfam family: Bacterial small subunit ribosomal RNA
Source: RNAcentral